This 261-nucleotide ribosomal RNA is filed under the name uncultured bacterium. RNAcentral describes it as "partial 16S ribosomal RNA". It matches the Rfam family "Bacterial small subunit ribosomal RNA", at positions 1232 to 1500 of the family's 1533-position model. The record is from RNAcentral.
GGGCGGCACAGAGGGAAGCCAGGUGGCGACACCGCGCGGAACCCGAAAGCCGUUCUCAGUUCGGAUCGAAGUCUGCAACCCGACUCCGUGAAGCUGGAUUCGCUAGUAAUCGCGCAUCAGCCAUGGGCGCGGUGAAUACGUUCCCGGGCCUUGUACACACCGCCCGUCAAGCCAUGGGAGCCGGGGGUGCUUGAAGUGCGUCGCCGCAAGGCGCGCCCUAGAGCAAAACCGGUGACUGGGGCUAAGUCGUAACAAGGUAGC